UUUAUCGGGCUUCCUAGGGUUUGUAAACCCUAGCACAAGACAACAUAUGGAAUUCAUCUUUCUUAUUUUAUUGCUUUCACUGCUUGGAGAAGGGUUGCCGCUAUGCUGCUAGGGUUUGAUACUUGAAGAACUCCACUGCGGAUGCCAUUCUGAUUAUUUGCAGAGUUCUUGACAGAGAAUGAGAGAUUUUGACUUUUCGGAUUUUCGGCCGUACAGCCUCUGCAUCAUCUCGUACAACAAUUUUCACAGGCUGAAACAAUAAUCUACAGGUGUUGUAUGAGCAGAAAUUCUCUGUCGUACGAGCAGAAAUAUUCUGUCAUACGCGCAUAAAUCCUCUGUCGUACGAGUAGAAAUCCUCUGUCGUGCGAGCAUAAAUCCUCUGUUGUACAAGUAACUGAUUUGUCAUUUUUUUUUUUACUUGUUCGGUUCUGUGAGAAUUAUCAUAUGGUCGAGUGAGAAUACUCAUCCGAGUUACUGUUUUGUCGUAUGAGAAACAGAGAGUUUUUAUUUAGGAUUUUGCUUGAAAUAAGGCUUGUGGAAGGUCAAUAUAUAUGGAAUAUAACAUUUAAGUA
This is a long non-coding RNA of Cryptomeria japonica (Japanese cedar), 572 nucleotides long. RefSeq lists it as uncharacterized. The transcript has 2 exons. The record is from RefSeq and is a predicted model, not a curated record. Lineage: Eukaryota; Viridiplantae; Streptophyta; Pinopsida; Cupressales; Cupressaceae.